Long non-coding RNA from Oxyura jamaicensis (ruddy duck), 856 nucleotides. RefSeq lists it as uncharacterized. Lineage: Eukaryota; Metazoa; Chordata; Aves; Anseriformes; Anatidae. The transcript has 3 exons. The record is from RefSeq and is a predicted model, not a curated record.
CCCAAGGAGGGAACACCUGAGAUCACGGGGUCUCUGCUCAUCAGAGCCAUUAACCUGACCACUCCAUGUGGUCUUCUAGGAGCAGCAAAGGUUUUCACAAAGUGGCUUACACAAGAACAGUAAAGUGAUUUUUCUAUGCUCCAGCAUGGGUGAGAGGGUCUGGAGAAAAUUGGAUUUGAGUCAUCAGCAGAACAAUGUUCAUAAAAGUGCAAGGAGCAAGUAUCCCAUUCACACAGGAGAUUUUGCCACUGUGGACAAAAUUCAGCCUACUUCUUGUGGUGUAUUGAGAAAGGCAAAGGAGGACAUGACAGGUAUGCCAUCAUGUGCUACACCUGGAUGCUGCCUGCUCUCACUGUAUUCCUGCAGUGUGGAAAUACAGCCUGGGGGGGUUACAUUUUUGUAGCAGUUUCUUGGUCAUCUUGACAGCUGCCUGUGUGUUUUCAGCAAAGAAGACAUGAUGCAAAGAAAUUCUUAUGUCUGAAUUCUGUUCAUGUUACAAAGUAUGCAGCAUUCCCAAAUGCUGGGUGGAGCAAGAUGAGUUACAUGUUGUGUCCUGAAGCUUUUACAUAGAGGAAAACAAAUCCCUGGCAUUCAGUUAUACAGACUGCACUUUCUUAUACUUAAGGGAUCUAAUUUCCAAUUAAUGUUUGGAUGAUUAACUAUAAAAAAAUGGUGUAACUUGUGCCUGGCAUCUUUAUAUUAGCUCUGAGGGCUUUCUGAUAUUUACAGAUAACCCAACCAUUUGCACUGCAGCAGGAAACUUGGUAUUGCCUACUCUUGCACUAAAACUUAGUGCAUUUGGCCAGCUCUGCUAAAAAUGAAUUAAAAUUAAUAUCAUUUUCCAGAUCUUAAAAAA